GCACUUAUUGUCCCAAAACAAAAAUUAAAUAUUCUCAUUGCAGACCAUUCUUGUAUUUGCUAUUAAUACUGGGCCAAAUGAGUGAUUUAGUAACCCACUCACAUAGAUGAAUUAGGCCUAUCAGAUAAUAUACAAGAGCCUAAAGAUACGGGCCAGGAUCAGGAACAUACGUUCAUUCAUGACAUAGGUUAAUGUGUAUUGGGCUAUGGCAUUGAAAAAUAAUCACUGACUUUUGAGAGCAUCUGCAGCAGAUGUCACUGCUGACGAAAAAAUGAAUAAGAAAUUUAAAAAGUUAGUAACUAUGCAAAAUAUAUACAUCCUGCGUGAAGGUUACAUCACAUUAUUGGUACUUGUUGAUGUUGUCAUCGUCCUAUUAGUUGUGUUUCAAAUUUUUGUGAUCAAUAAAAUUUGCAACGAUAAGUAUCUAUUUGUGUCUUCAUUAAAUUAUCAUUGUCUCCACACUGACCACAUAAGUUGUUUUCAAGUUGAAAAUUUAACACUAUCAGUUAAAUGAAAUUGUUUCAUACCGAUUUUUUUAUAAAAUAAUUAAGACACAUAACAACGUCAUUUUAAUCAAUGAAUUAACUAAAACAAAAAAUACAAAUGAGGAAGUAAAAUAAUGACCAGGAGAAAAUAAGGAAAAAAAUAUAAUUGUCCAAAUAAUUUGUAUGGUAGUUUUAGGAGAAAAUAAUUAAUUAACAAAAUAAAGAAAGUAACAUACAAUAAGGAAAUAAGGAAAAGAAAGAGGUUAAAAUUUAGGAGUGAACAAGAUGAGGAGAUAAGAAGAAGACAUAAACGAUUGAUUUUUUUUUUAAAUCAGUUCGUUUCACUAAUUGUGUUACAAAUGUCAUGUAUGGUCAAGUGUGCAUAAAUAACGUGCCACAUCAAUCAUUCUCUUAUCAUUCUCACACCCAUAUGAAGAGAUCAACGUGACUAGCAAUACUAAAAAAAGUUGAGGACCGAAAUUAUAAUUUAAAUUUAUUAAAGAAGAUCUAGAAAAUAUGAAUCACUAAAAUGGGUGUUCAUGCAUGAUAUGGGACAAAUUUGGUCAUUAAUAUGGAAGAACUUACAAAUUGAGCAGUACUGAUAAAGACAAAUUAGAUUAGAUUGGCAUUGGCCCAACUUAGACACAGUCGUUUUGCUUGGCUUCACGAAUCAAUACAAAGUUGGACCCACUUCUCUUAUCCCAUUUCUUCCUUUAACACAGUUCAAUCAUUUCAUUCACAGCUCACACACACACAAAAUCAUUCAGAUUAACGCAAUAACAAUGAAAAUUUCAAUCUACUUUGUAAUAGUAUUAGUCUUACCUUUAUGUUAUGCAAUCGACGAAGAUGGAGAAACCAUAAUCUUCAAAACACUUGGCAGAGACAACUACGCCUUCGACAUUUACACUCUU
This 1396-nucleotide long non-coding RNA is filed under the name Lupinus angustifolius (narrow-leaved blue lupine). RNAcentral describes it as "long non-coding RNA (LANG_LNC002236)". The record is from RNAcentral. Lineage: Eukaryota; Viridiplantae; Streptophyta; Magnoliopsida; Fabales; Fabaceae.